AGAUUUUGUAGAUCAGGAAUGUCGGUGCAGUUGGCACCUAUGAUUCAGGGUCUCUUACAAGGCUGCAGUCAUCUCAGAGCGCUACCUGGGGAGGCUGUUUCCAGGCUCACUCGUGCAGCAAUGGGCAGGUCUGGUCCUUGUUGGCUGCUUGCUGGAGAAAUAUGGUGUAAGAUACUUCUUCGAGAUUGGACAGCUGGGGACCUUCUUCUGAUUAACCUUAAAACAACUUAUAGCCAUAGAGACACCUCACAAAG
This 254-nucleotide small RNA is filed under the name Pongo abelii (Sumatran orangutan). Its description in RNAcentral is "processed transcript". The record is from RNAcentral. Lineage: Eukaryota; Metazoa; Chordata; Mammalia; Primates; Hominidae.